AGCCUACGGGGGGCAGCAGUGGGGAAUAUUGCACAAUGGGGGAAACCCUGAUGCAGCAACGCCGCGUGAGUGAAGAAGUAUUUCGGUAUGUAAAGCUCUAUCAGCAGGGAAGAAAAUGACGGUACCUGAGUAAGAAGCCCCGGCUAACUACGUGCCAGCAGCCGCGGUAAUACGUAGGGGGCAAGCGUUAUCCGGAUUUACUGGGUGUAAAGGGAGCGUAGACGGUGAUGCAAGUCUGGAGUGAAAGGCGGGGGCCCAACCCCCGGACUGCUCUGGAAACUGGGUAACUUGAGUGCAGGAGAGGG
This 305-nucleotide ribosomal RNA is filed under the name uncultured bacterium. RNAcentral's name for it is "bacterial SSU rRNA". It matches the Rfam family "Bacterial small subunit ribosomal RNA", at positions 335 to 658 of the family's 1533-position model. The record is from RNAcentral.